ACUCCUACGGGAGGCAGCAGGUGGGGAAUAUUGCAGCAAUGGGCGCAAGCCUGGAUGCAGCCAUGCCGCGUGUGUGAAGAAGGCCUUCGGGUUGUAAAGCACUUUCAGUUGUGAGGAAAGGUUAGUCGCUAAUAUCGGCUAGCUGUGACGUUAGCAACAGAAGAAGCACCGGCUAACUCCGUGCCAGCAGCCGCGGUAAUACGGAGGGUGCGAGCGUUAAUCGGAAUUACUGGGCGUAAAGCGCGUGUAGGUGGCUUGUUAAGCCAGAUGUGAAAGCCCCGGGCUCAACCUGGACUGCAUUUGGAACUGGCAGGCUAGAGUUUGUAGAGGGGUGGUAGAAUUUCAGGUGUAGCGGUGAAAUGCGUAGAGAUCUGAAGGAAUACCGGUGGC
RNAcentral lists this ribosomal RNA (390 nucleotides) under uncultured bacterium. RNAcentral describes it as "bacterial SSU rRNA". It matches the Rfam family "Bacterial small subunit ribosomal RNA", at positions 335 to 716 of the family's 1533-position model. The record is from RNAcentral.